RNAcentral lists this ribosomal RNA (397 nucleotides) under uncultured bacterium. Its description in RNAcentral is "bacterial SSU rRNA". It matches the Rfam family "Bacterial small subunit ribosomal RNA", at positions 120 to 507 of the family's 1533-position model. The record is from RNAcentral.
GGAACGUCGACCCAAGUCGGUAGGGGAUAACGUACGACGAAAGUUACGCUAAUACCGCAUACGAUCUACGGAUGAAAGCGGGGGAUCGCAAGACCUCGCGCGAAUGGAGCGGCCGAUGUCAGAUUAGGUAGUUGGUGGGGUAAAGGCUCACCAAGCCGACGAUCUGUAGCUGGUCUGAGAGGACGACCAGCCACACUGGGACUGAGACACGGCCCAGACUCCUACGGGAGGCAGCAGUGGGGAAUUUUGGACAAUGGGCGCAAGCCUGAUCCAGCCAUUCCGCGUGCAGGAUGAAGGCCUUCGGGUUGUAAACUGCUUUUGUACGGAACGAAACGGUUCUCUCUAAUACAGGGGGCUAAUGACGGUACCGUAAGAAUAAGCACCGGCUAACUACGUG